GUAGGUGGUUCGCCUACCAAACCAGAGAGUCAGCAUCGCUGGCUACACUUCUACUGUGCUGGGAACCACUAACGUGCUACCAGCAGCCCGAGCAAUCGGGUUCACAGGUCAAAUAGACGUGGCCCCGCCUGGGGUUAAGAUAUGAUCGGACUGCACCGUAACCGGCUGCAGAGACUCGGAACCUGCGGAAGGAUCACUAAAGAGAACUUGCCCUUCGGGGUAGAUCUCCCACCCUUUGUUUAUUAUACUUUGUUGCUUUGGCGGGCCUGCCUCACGGCUGCCGGCGUAAGCUGGCUCGCGCCCGCCAGAGACCCCUAAACUCUGAAUAUUGUCGUCUGAGUAACAUAUAAUAAGUUAAAACUUUCAACAACGGAUCUCUUGGUUCUG
This 387-nucleotide unclassified non-coding RNA is filed under the name rhizosphere metagenome. RNAcentral describes it as "partial ribosomal RNA internal transcribed spacer region". The record is from RNAcentral.